Molecule: ribosomal RNA, 408 nt
Filed under: uncultured bacterium
Lineage: Bacteria
Description: partial 16S ribosomal RNA
Rfam family: Bacterial small subunit ribosomal RNA
Source: RNAcentral
GACGAACGCUGGCGGCGUGCUUAACACAUGCAAGUCGAACGAAGUGGCGAACGGGUGAGUAACGCGUAAUCAACUUGCUCUUCAGCGGGGGACAACAGUUGGAAACGACUGCUCAUACCGCAUUCUGACGGAGGGGACUGCGUCGGAUUAGUGAGUUGGUGGGGUAACGGUCCCCCAAGGCGAUGAUCAGUAGCCGGUCUGAGAGGAGGAACGGCCACAUUGGGACUGAGACACGGCCCAGACUCCUACGGGAGGCAGCAGGGGGGAAACUUCCGCAAUGGACGAAAGUCUGACGGGGCAACGCCGCGUGAGUGAUGACGGCCUUCGGGUUGUAAAGCUCUGGUAAUCGGGGCGCGGUACCGGAAUAGAAAGCCACGGCUAACUACGUGCCAGCAGCCGCGGUAAUUC